UACAUGGGGUGCAAACGUUGCUCGGAAUUAUUGGGCGUAAAGAGCGUGUAGGCGGCCCGAUAAGUCCGCCGUGAAAGUCCAGGGCUCAACCCUGGGAUGCCGGUGGAUACUGUCGGGCUAGAGUUCGGAAGAGGCAAGUGGAAUUCCUGGUGUAGCGGUGAAAUGCGCAGAUAUCAGGAGGAACACCUAUGGCGAAGGCAGCUUGCUGGGACGACACUGACGCUGAGCCGCGAAAGCCAGGGGAGCGAACGGG
Molecule: ribosomal RNA, 253 nt
Filed under: uncultured bacterium
Lineage: Bacteria
Description: partial 16S ribosomal RNA
Rfam family: Bacterial small subunit ribosomal RNA
Source: RNAcentral